CUCAGCUAGCUUUUGAUACUUUUUUAAUUUAUUAGUAAUAAUUAGUGUAACUGAUGUAUCACUUUUGAGUUGUUCCCUUUUGUUGUCAUAUUGACAAAAUUCCACUUUGUAUGUGUUUGCAUAACAUUGUUUUAGAUGACUUCAUGGUAUAUAUUGAGUGAUUUUCUCAAGAGUAGACAUAUUUUAGAUUUGGAUAUGCAGCAAUUGAUGCACCAGGAGGGUUCCACUUUGAAUGGGGGUAUGUUUGUGGGACAUAUUCAUUGCAAGGACAAAUGAGAAGCACUCAGAGUCUGCUGCAGCUUACAUUGAGGAUAUACAAACAUGACACAUGGUCUAGGGUAAAAGAAAAUAGAGGGAAGAAAGUGAA
Long non-coding RNA from Rosa chinensis, 367 nucleotides. RefSeq lists it as uncharacterized. NCBI's taxonomy places the organism in Eukaryota, Viridiplantae, Streptophyta, Magnoliopsida, Rosales, Rosaceae. The record is from RefSeq and is a predicted model, not a curated record. The transcript is spliced from 2 exons.